CCUACGGGAGGCAGCAGUGGGGAAUUUUGGACAAUGGGCGAAAGCCUGAUCCAGCAAUGCCGCGUGUGGGAAGAAGGCCUUCGGGUUGUAAACCACUUUUGUACGGAACGAAACGGUUCGCUUUAAUACAGUGGGCUAAUGACGGUACCGUAAGAAUAAGCACCGGCUAACUACGUGCCAGCAGCCGCGGUAAUACGUAGGGUGCGAGCGUUAAUCGGAAUUACUGGGCGUAAAGCGUGCGCAGGCGGUUAUAUAAGACAGUUGUGAAAUCCCCGGGCUCAACCUGGGAAUUGCAUCUGUGACUGUAUAGCUAGAGUACGGUAGAGGGGGAUGGAAUUCCGCGUGUAGCAGUGAAAUGCGUAGAUAUGCGGAGGAACACCGAUGGCGAAGGCAAUCCCCUGGACCCGUACUGACGCUCAUGCACGAAAGCGUGGGGAGCAAACAGGAUUAGAUACCCUGGUAGUCCACGCCCUAAACGAUGUCAACUGGUUGUUGGGUGCAUUAGUACUCAGUAACGAAGCUAACGCGUGAAGUUGACCGCCUGGGGAGUACGGCCGCAAGGUUGAAACUCAAAUGAAUUGACCGGNNGAGACGNGCGAGACGACGACGAGGGAGAGG
Molecule: ribosomal RNA, 618 nt
Filed under: uncultured bacterium
Lineage: Bacteria
Description: bacterial SSU rRNA
Rfam family: Bacterial small subunit ribosomal RNA
Source: RNAcentral